RNAcentral lists this ribosomal RNA (497 nucleotides) under uncultured bacterium. Its description in RNAcentral is "partial 16S ribosomal RNA". It matches the Rfam family "Bacterial small subunit ribosomal RNA", at positions 28 to 507 of the family's 1533-position model. The record is from RNAcentral.
GAUGAACGCUGGCGGCGUGCCUAAUACAUGCAAGUCGAGCGAACGGACGAGAAGCUUGCUUCUCUGAUGUUAGCGGCGGACGGGUGAGUAACACGUGGAUAACCUACCUAUAAGACUGGGAUAACUUCGGGAAACCGGAGCUAAUACCGGAUAAUAUUUUGAACCGCAUGGUUCAAAAGUGAAAGACGGUCUUGCUGUCACUUAUAGAUGGAUCCGCGCUGCAUUAGCUAGUUGGUAAGGUAACGGCUUACCAAGGCAACGAUGCAUAGCCGACCUGAGAGAGUGAUCGGCCACACUGGAACUGAGACACGGUCCAGACUCCUACGAGAGGCAGCAGUAGGGAAUCGUCCGCAAUGGGCGGAAGCCUGACGGAGCAACGCCGCGUGAGUGAUGAAGGUCUUCGGAGCGUAAAACUCUGUUAUUAGUGAAGAACAUAUGUGUAAGUAACUGUGCACAUCGUGACGGUACCUAAUCAGAAAGCCACGGCUAACUACGUG